This is a non-coding RNA of Podarcis muralis (Common wall lizard), 796 nucleotides long. The record is from RefSeq and is a predicted model, not a curated record. Lineage: Eukaryota; Metazoa; Chordata; Lepidosauria; Squamata; Lacertidae.
UUAUGUAUGCCACUACAGCAGCCUGAAUUUUGCUUGCACAAAAAUGGAGAACAGGUGCAGUGCUGACCAUGAAGGAAUGGCACUUUACGUUGUUGGAAUAUGUGGAGCUGGUGGGUCUGACCAGUAAGAUAAGAGAACAAGAUGAUGAAGAAUACAAAAAGCAAUGGAAAUGUUUGUAGAGUAUUUUAAAAAUCAGUAUAAACAAGUGAACAGAUUAGCAGGACUUGAAUAAAUUCAGCAGUAUAAGUGGAAGUAGGAGUAGUAAGAAGAGUAGAACUUGGUAACUUGGAAGAGAGGGAAAAGAAAAUAUAUCAGAGAAGGAGAGGAAGGGAAAUCCUUAGGUGUUUUGUGUUGUGUCCUUGGUUUUUCAUGGUUUUGUUUUCAUUUUUCUUCAUUUAUUCUUUACUUUCUUUUUCUUUUUAAUUGUAUGUAAAAACACAGAAUAAAAAUUACUUUCAAUUAACCCAACUGAUUAAUUGACAAAGCACUGCAGCUGGAGGAGGAGCUGUGGAAAAUGUCAGGGCAGCAUUGCAGAUGGUUUUAUGGCACCAGGGAAGCAGAGAAAGCAUUGGUGAGAAAAUAUGCAGAACCAAACUUCAGAUUGGAAAAGAGAGAGAGAGAAACUGAGAGAAACCAAAAGUGACUCAUUUGCCCAUCCUGAAUCACAGCAAGCACCACCUGGACCUCUUGAGGAGCGAUGAUAAAGCUACUGAUUAAAUUUUAAAGAAACUGUCUUUGAACAAGUCAAGAGCUGGAACUGUAGGGGAAUACAUUAUUUAAAGGAGAAGCCACGUGA